GGUAAGGUGGCUGAGUUGCAGGCGAUAGAUUGUAAGUCUAUUAACAGGAUUUAAUUCUUUCUUAUCAGGCUUGAUAGUUUAGUUUAGAAUAUCAUAUUGCAAA
Molecule: transfer RNA, 103 nt
Filed under: Panulirus japonicus (Japanese spiny lobster)
Lineage: Eukaryota; Metazoa; Arthropoda; Malacostraca; Decapoda; Palinuridae
Description: tRNA-Tyr
Source: RNAcentral